CUCAGUUUGGGAAAUCCGAUCGUCGACUUUCUGGAUGCAUUAACACUAGGUCCCCAUUCAUCCCACGAUUUAUCAUUGAAGAUAUCCCACCAUUACUUCUUUGCUUAGGAUCUUCUACUAUAAAAGGCACACAAGGAUAUUAAAUUGCGGCGGUGAUGCGGUGGUGAAGUGGAUUAUAGAGAGGCGGAGAUACAGAGACGGUGAUGAUUGGAUUUAUGAUGAGGUGGAGGAUUGGGUUUGAGAAGAGUAGAUGUCGCUGAAGCUGAAUUCAUUGUCAGGACUUGGGGAAAGUUGUAAAACCAUUCACUCUAGCUCAAAAUUUCAUCAAUAAAACCAUUUACAUCAUAUAUCUUGAUGCACUUAGCGAUUUGUUUUGUCGUUAACGAAUCUAACGGCGGCGAUAAAUAUGGCUAGAUUCGCCACUACGGUCGUCGGAAUCAGAUAGGAAGUCCAGUGAUUUCUGCCAAAGCUUUCAUCAUAAAAAUAGGAGAGAUAGUUUGGAGGAAGAAAGGAGGAUGAAAUAGAGGGAGAAGAGAUUGAGACAGAGCAUCAGUAACUGGAGGAAUCAAGGAUUCAAGACAAAAUUUGUGAUUAUUAGUAGUCUUUGUAUCGAUCUUUGUGGAAUAAGUUAAGAAUAGAGCUUUUGGUGGUGCGUCAAUGGUGAGUUAGGCGAUGUUGCAACCUCUUCUCCAA
Molecule: long non-coding RNA, 693 nt
Organism: Brassica oleracea var. oleracea
Lineage: Eukaryota; Viridiplantae; Streptophyta; Magnoliopsida; Brassicales; Brassicaceae
Exons: 3
Source: RefSeq, a predicted model, not a curated record